UACGUAGGGUGCAGGCGUUAAUCGGAAUUACUGGGCGUAAAGCGUGCGCAGGCGGUUUCUUAAGUCAGAUGUGAAAGCCCCGGGCUUAACCUGGGAACUGCGUUUGAAACUGGGAGACUUGAGUGUGGCAGAGGGGGGUGGAAUUCCACGUGUAGCAGUGAAAUGCGUAGAUAUGUGGAGGAACACCGAUGGCGAAGGCAGCCCCCUGGGUUAACACUGACGCUCAUGCACGAAAGCGUGGGGAGCAAACGGG
RNAcentral lists this ribosomal RNA (253 nucleotides) under uncultured bacterium. RNAcentral's name for it is "partial 16S ribosomal RNA". It matches the Rfam family "Bacterial small subunit ribosomal RNA", at positions 524 to 776 of the family's 1533-position model. The record is from RNAcentral.